CAUCGACCGUCUCAGCAAGCGCUACCUCGCCCGGCUCCCGCAUUGCUGAUGGUAAGCCCCUCCUUUGCUCUCUUGGCCUGCUUGCUUGCUUGCGAGCCCCUCCUCUGAAUUUGUUGGCUGGUUGCUUUCUUUCUUCAGCAAGCCAAGAAACAGGGAGUGCCGGCAGUAGUACUCUGAAUCCAUCAAUGCAACUGAAUCCAAACAUGUGAAUCAAGUUGUGGCAGGUAUCUCUGCAUGCUUAAUUCACUCUUUUUUUUUGUGCAGUAGGAGUAGUUGCUAGAAAUUUACUGAAUUUUGUUUCCAGUAGAUGCACUGAAUUUCAAAGAAAGAGUACUCUAGGAGUACAUGGAGUUGAUGCACUGAAUUUUGUUUGCAGUAGAUGCACUGAAAUUUACUGAAUUUUGUUUCCAGUAGAUGCACUGAAUUUCAAAGAAAGAGUACUCUAGGAGUACAUGGAGUUGAUGCACUGAAUUUUGUUUGCAGUAGAUGUAAUUUACUGAAUUUUGUUUGCAGUAGGAGUAGUUGCAGUUCUGAACUGCUAGGUGUACUUGUGGAAGCACUUCGCUGGUGCGCCGUAUCUGAUUGAUUUGCAACUAAAUUCUAGCCACUCUGAAUUCUGAGUCUGAAUGCACAUCAAGGAGUAUUUUUAAAAAGUACAGCAAGGAGUAGCAUCUACAUGUUUAAAAAGCAAUUCAGCUCGAUUUCUGUGUGUAUCCAUAUGCCCAAUCCCGCUCUAAUUCAGCCUACUCCCAUCUCUAGAUAAAUAACAGUAGAAUAAUCUGUGAGUACUGUUAUUUCACAAUACACUGCCAAUUUUCAGCACCAAACCAGGAAAAUUAUGUCAAACGAUUAUGGCCUGAAUUGUGACAGUACUGAAAGCAUGCAAACAUGCCUAAAGGUUAAGUGUUUCACUACUGCACUGGGAUUAAAGAUUCAGUUGUUUUCUAGUCUAGUGACAUUGUCAUUGUAGUUUCAGUAGAAAUGACCUUCUUCCUAAUUAGUAACAGAGAUGAAAGUUUAUAUAGUUGUGAUAUUUUUGGUGUAAUAUUAUUGUUUGCAUGCAUAUUUUUUUUUUGUUUUCUGCAUGUUCAGAAUUGCAUGCUUUGGGGCCGCAUCAUAAAAACUUAUCUAAUGUAGAACACUCCAGUGGAGUCUAGUUUUACAACAACGGAGUGACCCAGGCAGUGUGCAAAAUUUGUGCAGGAAAACAAAGCCGAGUUUAGAUGUAGUAGAUGAUUGAUUACAAAACAACAAAAGAAUAAUAUACAUAAGCAAUCCAGCAAAAGGGAAAAUAAUGUCACAUACAACAAAAAUUGGCAACUUGCAAAGUCACAAAUCCGAGGCAAUAUUAUUAAUAUUUGACUUGUUGUAUAAACAUAAUAAGGUUUAAUUUCUAACAUCGAAAGAUAAUAUAUCUGUACAAGAACACCGAAGAGCACCAACUUAUCUGUAGCAUAAGAGUAAAUCCUCUGUCAUAUUUAAGAGCGGACUUCAGCCUGUAAGGACUUCCUUAUAGACGAUGUUCUUCAUCGAGGUUUGUAAGGACAAGGUAGGUCUUUUUCGCUUCUUUGAUUUACUGCUUUGCUUCUUGCCAUUCUCCUUGUCCUUCUCCUUCUCAAUGAGGAUCUUUAUAUUUCUCUUCGCGGUGGCUCGAGACAAUGCGACAUAGAGUUGACCAUGAGAAAACACCGGAUUAGGUAGGUACACGCCAACAAUCGGAAUCGUCUGUCCUUGAGCCUUGUUAAUCGUCAUAGCAAAGCUAAGCCUUACAGGAAAUUGCUUCCUCUUGAACUUGAAUGGAAACAUGUUGUUGACAGACGGGCAUAGGGGUAUUCGAGGAAGGAAUACCCUCCUACCUGCAUGUUGUCCGAUCACGAUUUCUGCGUCGAUGGCGUUCCUCUCGAAACCUCGCACCACAAGCCUCGUCCCGUUACACAGACCAUUAGCCGGAUCAAUGUUCCUUAGAAGUAUGACAGUGCAGUUGAGCUUCAGUUUGAGUGCAUGCGGAGGCAGACCGUUGGGAGUCAAUCCAUUUAGGAACUCAAGAGCAUAGUAGCCAUAUGGGUCGUCUUCUGCACUAUCAAAGCUAUGGUAGAUUACUUCUUCCCCCCGAAAAUGCUCUACCAUGCGUAUGUUUAUCUUGUCGAUGUUGUCGUUCGUGGUGGAGAGGAUUGCGCGUGAAGUCAUGUAAUUCGGAUCAGACAUGUUAUCAUCUAGUCUCGGAAACACAUGGUCAAUCAGCUUCUCCAGGUCGUCACCCUCGCCUGUAGACGGCACACAAAUAUCUUCAGGGAGUCGUAUGUUUCCUUGAUCGUCAACUCCCUCGGUACCAUUGCCUACCCUUAGCAAGUAAUCCGCAAACCAGGUGUCAUUAUGAGCCCUCAUGUUGGUGACGAGCCUUAGCUGGCGCAGACCCUUCCAGAGAUGUGAACUUCGGAGGGUUGCAUCGAUUAUCUGACCCCAGGACCCCCUCCUGACGACUGGAAGCACCUGCCUGAAGUCCCCGCCAAACACAACAGUUUUCCCUCCAAAGGGUCGGUCCCGUCUUCCCAUGAUGUCGCACAUGCUGUUGUCGAGUGCCUCGACCGCCUGUUGCUUAGUCAUGGUGGCCUCGUCCCAUAGUAUCAAUGAGGCCAUCCUCAGUAGCUUGGCGGUACCACUCUGCUUCGUGAAGGUGCAUGAGGCGCCAUCGUCGCAACUCAAUGGGAUCUUGAACCUCGAGUGGGCAGUCCUGCCUCCAGGCACGAUAGAAGCGGCGACACCUGACGUCGCGGUAGCGAUAGCGAUGUUUCCCUCGCUUCGAACGUUGGCGAGCAGCGCCCUGUACAGGAAGGUCUUCCCUGUACCUCCCGGGCCAUCAACAAAGAACACACCCCCAUCACCGCGUUCAACAGCAGCUAGUAUCUCGUUGUAUGCAACCCUCUGCUCCAAGUUUAGCGACGAUGCCAAUUUAGUGUCGUUGAUGUCAAAAUCGAUGUUGGAUUCCUCGAUCACUUCUCUGGCCUCGCCCUCGUUUGGGUCAAACGCAUCGUCAAUGCAUGGAAGAGCGAAAUCAGCUAUGUCUUUGCCCAUGGACUGCAACAUACCCCUAAUGUCAAGCAACACCAUCUGUUCCACCUCAUCAGACAUAGGCUCGAAGUGCCUAUCCCAUAAACCACGCACGUCGCUUGGCUCACAGUGCACCAAAGAAAGUAGUAUUUUGUUACUUGUCGGAGCCAGCUACAGACCCUAUUUUUUAAGAUACGUGGAAAGUAGUAUGGUGCAGAUGGACGCAUGGCUCAAACCAUUUAGCUUUUUAAGGUUGAACUAUGUAAAGCCUGUCUAAAGUCAUCGUCAUUUGUGAUGUCCUGUUCUAGUAUCACCCCUUCAGAGGGACUAAUAUGCAAUACUGACAUGGUAGGUUCUUUUGGUUUGUUGUUUUUGUCCAAAUCUGUUAGGCACGAUUGAUGAAAUGAUCAAAUAAAACCCAUUUGAUAAUGCACGUUAUUUACAAAAGCCCCAUACCUGGAGUCAUUGGGUAAUACUCGUCCAUGUUGUGACUCGGUGCGGGACGAUUUCUGGGAUGGAUUCGUUGACAUUUAUACCCUCAUUAUGGCCUGUAACGCGGAAGUUAUAUGCAAUGUUGUGUUUAUACCAGAAUGAAGGUCAACAAGACGGGGUAGAGGGUAUACCUGGACUUCCUUGGGGAUGUAGAUCAACAAGAGGUGGUAGAGGUACACCCGAUGCCUUUCUUUGUUCCGGUGCCUUGCUAUUUGAAUUUCCCAUACUUAACUUUUGUUCUGAUGAGUGACAUAUCACAAAUGUAGGUCAACAUGAGAAGAUCAAAUAAGAACUAUUUGAUAAUGCACGUUAUUUACAAAAGCCCCAUACCUGGAGUAAUUGGGUAAUACUCGUCAAUGUUGUGACUCGGUGCGGGAACGAUUUCUGGGAUGGAUUCGUCGACAUUUAUACCCUCAUUAUGGCCUGUAACACGGUAGUUAUAUGCAAUGUUGUGUUUACACCAGAAUGAAGGUCAACAAGACGGGGUAGAGGUAAACCUGGACUUCCUUGGGGAUGUAGAUCAACAAGAGGGGGUAGAGGUACAUCCGAUGCCUUUCUCUGUUCCGGUGCCUUGCUAUUUGAAUUUCCCAUACUUACCUUUUGUUCUGAUGAGUGACCUAUCACAAAUGUAGGCCAACAUGAGAAGCUAGAGUAGAGGUCCAUUUCAAAGUAAACUUACAGGAGGACAAAGCUACCAACUGCUUACAGGAAAAGCUUGAACCUGGUCGAGCUGGGGACAUUGAUAAAGAAAAGGUGUAAUUUAGCUUUGCGUAAAAUUCAGAGAAGUUGCAUAUGUAUAAAUUGUAUGAUUCACAAGUCCGAAAACCUUCAAGUGUCUUAUUGAAUGUGCUGCCGGCGGAAGCAUAAAAAAUCAUCAUACGUACGGGAAGGUACUGCUCCAUCGGAGUUCUGUACGUAUGUGCGUUGGGCCCUGUUGAAUGGACGAAGGGUUUAGGGUUUAGGCGAACCUGAUUUAGGCGGAACCUGAUCGG
This 4532-nucleotide long non-coding RNA is filed under the name Triticum aestivum (bread wheat). RNAcentral describes it as "long non-coding RNA (TAES_LNC000878)". Lineage: Eukaryota; Viridiplantae; Streptophyta; Magnoliopsida; Poales; Poaceae. The record is from RNAcentral.